UACGGAGGGUGCAAGCGUUGUCCGGAUUUAUUGGGUUUAAAGGGUACGUAGGCGGAAGGCUAAGUCCGAGGUGAAAGCCCCCAGCUCAACUGGGGAGGUGCCUUGGAUACUGGUCAUCUUGAGUGCCGUAGAGGUAGGCGGAAUUCAUGGUGUAGCGGUGAAAUGCAUAGAUACCAUGAGGAACACCGAUAGGGAAGCCAGCUUACUAGACGGUUACUGACGCUGAGGUACGAAAGCGUGGGGAGCGAACAGG
This 253-nucleotide ribosomal RNA is filed under the name uncultured bacterium. RNAcentral's name for it is "partial 16S ribosomal RNA". It matches the Rfam family "Bacterial small subunit ribosomal RNA", at positions 524 to 776 of the family's 1533-position model. The record is from RNAcentral.